UCAUUAGUGAAUAUAGGACGUCCAACUUAACUUGGAGUCCGAACUCUCACUUUCUAACCCUGUGCACUUGUUUGGGAUAGUAACUCUCGCAAGAGAGCGAACUCCUAUUCACUUAUAAACACAAAGUCUAUGAAUGUAUUAAAUUUUAUAACAAAAUAAAACUUUCAACAACGGAUCUCUUGGCUCUCGCAUCGAUGAAGAACGCAGCGAAAUGCGAUAAGUAAUGUGAAUUGCAGAAUUCAGUGAAUCAUCGAAUCUUUGAACGCACCUUGCGCUCCAUGGUAUUCCGUGGAGCAUGCCUGUUUGAGUGUCAUGAAUACUUCAACCCUCCUCUUUCUUAAUGAUUGAAGAGGUGUUUGGUUUCUGAGCGCUGCUGGCCUUUACGGUCUAGCUCGUUCGUAAUGCAUUAGCAUCCGCAAUCGAACUUCGGAUUGACUUGGCGUAAUAGACUAUUCGCUGAGGAAUUCUAGUCUUCGGAUUAGAGCCGGGUUGGGUUAAAGGAAGCUUCUAAUCAGAAUGUCUACAUUUUAAGAUUAGAUCUCAAAUCAGGUAGGACUACCCGCUGAACUUAAGCAUAUCAAUAAGCGGAGGAAAAGAAACUAACAAGGAUUCCCCUAGUAGCGGCGAGCGAAGCGGGAAGAGCUCAAAUUUAUAAUCUGGCACCUUCGGUGUCCGAGUUGUAAUCUCUAGAAAUGUUUUCCGCGUUGGACCGCACACAAGUCUGUUGGAAUACAGCGGCAUAGUGGUGAGACCCCCGUAUAUGGUGCGGACGCCCAGCGCUUUGUGAUACAUUUUCGAAGAGUCGAGUUGUUUGGGAAUGCAGCUCAAAUUGGGUGGUAAAUUCCAUCUAAAGCUAAAUAUUGGCGAGAGACCGAUAGCGAACAAGUACCGUGAGGGAAAGAUGAAAAGCACUUUGGAAAGAGAGUUAACAGUACGUGAAAUUGUUGGAAGGGAAACGCUUGAAGUCAGACUUGCUUGCCGAGCAAUCGGUUUGCAGGCCAGCAUCAGUUUUCCGGGAUGGAUAAUGGUAGAGAGAAGGUAGCAGUUUCGGCUGUGUUAUAGCUCUCUGCUGGAUACAUCUUGGGGGACUGAGGAACGCAGUGUGCCUUUGGCGGGGGUUUCGACCUCUUCACACUUA
Molecule: ribosomal RNA, 1138 nt
Filed under: Rhodotorula mucilaginosa
Lineage: Eukaryota; Fungi; Basidiomycota; Microbotryomycetes; Sporidiobolales; Sporidiobolaceae
Description: eukaryotic LSU rRNA
Rfam family: Eukaryotic large subunit ribosomal RNA (bases 536-1138)
Source: RNAcentral